This 1955-nucleotide unclassified non-coding RNA is filed under the name Hevea brasiliensis (rubber tree). Lineage: Eukaryota; Viridiplantae; Streptophyta; Magnoliopsida; Malpighiales; Euphorbiaceae. The record is from RNAcentral.
GCAUUUUCUCGUGUUAAGGCCAAAAAAAUUAGGGGAAAAAUAGUUUCUGUAUAGCCGCAAGUGACUUGUUACGUUCCACAAGCUGGCCGUCAAGCGACUGUUUAGAUUAUCAACAAAGAACUCAACUAUUUGUAACUAAAAGAUUUUCACUAUUUUCUUUUCCUGGCUUGACAAUCUGUAUGUGAGUAAUUAAUUUAAUCACGCACCAACUGUCCGAAGCAUCAAAUAGCAAAAAUCGAGCAGAUGGUGUUUGUCUGGACCACAGCCUUGAUCACACACACACAGCUAUAUUACAACCACCUUUGAAUGAAAAGUUUCAGAAACUUGUAUGCCAGAUUGCUCCAUCACCUUCCCCACACCGCUGAUGUACUUCCUCCAUUCUCUCCACUGACUUGCAAACGCCACUGCAGGUCCAAUCAAAUGAUGCAGCACAAGGAUUCCCCGCUUGAGUCUUCCACUCGCAGUCAGGUAGAGUUCCACAGCAGAGGCUUCGAUCGUCAAUGUGCUCAAUAUCAAGCCCAAUAAACCAAGAUCCUAGCGAAACAUCUUCAUUUGCAUAUCUAUGAAGUAUGUGCCGAUUUACUGAAAUGUAGGUUGCCAAAUCUUUGGAAAUUGCAUAUAUUUGCCCUGUUGCAUGCCUAAAAUAUUUGUUUCCCUCCUCACCAAAUUUCCAAUAUUCUGGUUCAUGGUACUUGACACCUUUCUGUGAUAGAACUGGUCCAGAUUUCAUACAACCGAUAUAAACACGGGGUUUUGAUCUAUGACGUGCCAAAGUAGAGCCAACCAUACCAAGAUUUAUGUGUACAUCAUCAUCAACUUUAAUGUAGAAGUCAGCGUCCCACCUAGCAACAGCAGUUGACAAGUAUAUUUGUGUUUUUGAUGACAAUUCAUGAUAUCCUUCAAUAUGAUUCAGCCGCAGGAAAUCCCUGUGCUGUUCUUCUUCUGCAUCAAUAGCACGAUCCAAAACACCACCUGGUGAUGCACUGACAACCAAAAAAUUUAAGCAUUUCAUUUUUAUGAAACUAUCAUUAUGGGCUAGAAUGUUAAUCACUUGCAGCUUUGAUUAAUCCCACCUGUGUCCUAUUACAAAUCGUAAGAUGAUACCCUUCUCUGUUUCCAACUUCUUUAACUCCUCUCCUAGAGUACGUAACAACAAAAGGUGUAAGCAAUUACUUAAUUGUGACAGCUAUCAACGGUCUACUCAAGAGAAUGGUUAACCUUUGGGCAUCCAAGUUUCUCUAAUUGAAUCCCUUCGUUUUCUGCUGCUAAAUGCUGUAAUUAUACCCAUAACAAAAAAGACUUUCUGUCGCUCCUUCAAAGGCUUGGCUCCAGAUUUUGUGACCAUAGGAGAUCCUUCCUCAUUGUCAGCUUUGACAGCUCUUGCAGCAGCCAGCUGCAUUUCCAAUGAGGAGAUUGUUUUAUCUAGAGUCAUGAUUACAUCAUGAGUUUGUGAAACUUGAGAAAGAAUGUCCCCUGCUUGGACAGAAGUCUCCUUCUUUUCACAAUUAACCACAGGAUUGGAAAUUUUUGAUUGAUGUUCUUUCACAGAUGAAGCUUCCUCAUCCAUUUGGACUGGAUCAAUAUCCCAAAACCUGUUGACAACAAGAACCCCCAAGAAGAAGCUGGCAAUGCAGAAGAUAGAAACCCAUCUGGUAGAGACUCCAUUGCUGGGUUUUUGAGGUCUGCUCAAACCCAUUCCAAUCCAACGAGCUUGAGCUUUGAGUAAGCUUCCUCCUUUCCUAAAGCUUGCGGUGGUGCUACAAGAAGAAUACAAACGACCCCAUUCCUGAGAAAGAGAGAGAGAAGAAAAGAACAAAAAUAAUGCCCGAACUGGAUGGUUGUCUAAAUAGGCCGAAAAAAGAAAGGGGAAAUGGAAUUGUUGGUUUUUCUUGCUUUCAGCUUUCUGAAUCCAAUCAAAAUCACCAGGAGAAUGGGCAAGCUGUAAUAAUGUUUGC